Molecule: long non-coding RNA, 1204 nt
Organism: Strongylocentrotus purpuratus (purple sea urchin)
Lineage: Eukaryota; Metazoa; Echinodermata; Echinoidea; Camarodonta; Strongylocentrotidae
Exons: 2
Source: RefSeq, a predicted model, not a curated record
UCUCUCUCUCCCUCUCACACUCUCUCCCUCUCACACUCUCUCUUUCUCCAACCAUUCUAUCCCACCACCAGUUUAUUUUGUUCAUCCUACAUGUACUUGCUCGCUCUCUCUCUCUCUCUCUCUCUCUCUUUCAUUCUGUGUUUAUGUUUCACUUGCUAUAUAGAAAACAGUACACCGUUAAUGAGAAAAAACUCUUUACAAAAUAGCUGCGGAACAAUUAAUUGACAAUGAAUCAUGGCACUGUUUAUUCAGAUAUCACAUAGAAUGCAUUUAGUAAUAGUAAUGAAGUCUGAGAUAAACAAAGUACAUGUACAGUUUAAUACCCAGGGUGAGUACACACACAGGUACACAUGAAUUGUAAUACAUCUAUGGUAUACAUGUAAGCUAAAGGAGAGAUAGAAAAGGAUAAAUUCUCUCCUCUAAUAAACUAAGAUUAUGAUUUGAAAUCGAUUGAAUUCAUUUACAAAGUUCUGUACGUCUGCAGCCAAGCUAUGUCAAUUUAAUUUGUGCACAGCAAAUUGAAGUAAUACAGAUUUAGCAAAAUAUUUUUUUCAUUAUGAAAACUGCAGCUUUUUAACUUUGUAAUUUGAACCUGCAGGGUAAAUAAACAACUUUAACUCUGUGUACUCAAUGUGAAUGACUAGUGCACAGCACAAAAUUACAAACUAUUUUUGAGUAUAAAAACAUUGUCAUUUUUGUUAAAAUCUUGUAAAACAUUGCAUACUAUUUGCAGUGUCAAAAAUACUUUCCUGAUUGCAAGUUUGUUUAGGAUAUGGUGGUGUAUAAGUGCAAUUUUCCCACUGUGAAAUGUAAGUAUUUUACUGGGUUUUUUUUUAAGAGCUCCUCUUCAAUUUACCAGAGCAAAUUUAGAGCUUCCGAGAGCUAAAUCAAUCACCAUUCCUGUGUAAUUUUUUUCUUUCUUCUUCUUCGCUAUAAGUACAGGCCACCGUCGGGUGUAUUCUCGUACUGAUUGUAGGUGCUGUGCAGGUGUAUAUAUACAUGUAGUGUCUCAAUAAAAGGUCUACAAUGAGCUAUGUGCAGUUAAAAGGACAUCUGUAGCUUAACGCAGCUGGAUCUUGAGUACCUCUCUCUUUUUGCUGGUUCUAUGUCACACAGUGCUUGUAGAUUUUAGGCCUUAGAUUAAAACAACACAAAAACAAAAUUAAAGGGAAGCAUCAUUACUAUAAUGAAGAGAAACAUGAAA